RNAcentral lists this small RNA (210 nucleotides) under Microtus ochrogaster (prairie vole). RNAcentral describes it as "7SK RNA (ENSMOCG00000010512.1)". It matches the Rfam family "7SK RNA", at positions 1 to 237 of the family's 331-position model. Rfam says of the family: 7SK was discovered as an abundant small nuclear RNA in the mid-70s but a possible function has only recently been suggested. Two independent studies have found that 7SK RNA binds the CDK9/cyclin T complex (known as elongation factor P-TEFb). The record is from RNAcentral. Lineage: Eukaryota; Metazoa; Chordata; Mammalia; Rodentia; Cricetidae.
AAACAUCAGAGGGACCUGGCAGUGACAUCUCUGUCACCCACUGAUCACUGGGCACAUCUGAUUGAUCUAAUUGGGUAGGUGGGGUGUCUCCUUCCUCUGCUCAUUGCUCUACAUGUGCCCCUCCAACAGUCAUACACCCAAAGAAGACAGCCUUCCCUGACAGUGUCUGAGUAGCCCACACCCCCAGCUAGAAUCUCCAAACAAGCUCUU